RNAcentral lists this ribosomal RNA (767 nucleotides) under uncultured Alphaproteobacteria bacterium. RNAcentral's name for it is "bacterial SSU rRNA". It matches the Rfam family "Bacterial small subunit ribosomal RNA", at positions 1 to 819 of the family's 1533-position model. Lineage: Bacteria; Pseudomonadati; Pseudomonadota; Alphaproteobacteria. The record is from RNAcentral.
AGGAGUUUGAUCAUGGGCUCAGAACGAACGCUGGCGGCAUGCCUAACACAUGCAAGUCGAACGAGGGCUUCGGCCCUAGUGGCGCACGGGUGAGUAACGCGUGGGAACCUGCCCUGUGGUACGGAAUAACUCCGGGAAACUGGAGCUAAUACCGUAUGUGUCCUGUGGGACAAAGAUUUAUCGCCAUGGGAUGGGCCCGCGUAGGAUUAGCUUGUUGGUGGGGUAACGGCCUACCAAGGCAACGAUCCUUAGCUGGUCUGAGAGGAUGAUCAGCCACACUGGGACUGAGACACGGCCCAGACUCCUACGGGAGGCAGCAGUGGGGAAUAUUGGACAAUGGGCGCAAGCCUGAUCCAGCAAUGCCGCGUGAGUGAUGAAGGCCUUCGGGUUGUAAAGCUCUUUCGCACGCGACGAUGAUGACGGUAGCGUGAGAAGAAGCCCCGGCUAACUUCGUGCCAGCAGCCGCGGUAAUACGAAGGGGGCUAGCGUUGUUCGGAAUUACUGGGCGUAAAGGGCGCGUAGGCGGUACUUCAAGUAAGGCGUGAAAGCCCCGGGCUCAACCUGGGAACCGCGCUUGAGACUGGAGAACUAGAGUUCGGGAGAGGAUGGUGGAAUUCCCAGUGUAGAGGUGAAAUUCGUAGAUAUUGGGAGGAACACCGAUGGCGAAGGCAGCCAUCUGGACCGACACUGACGCUGAGGCGCGAAAGCGUGGGGGAGCAAACAGGAUUAGAUACCUGGUAGUCCACGCCGUAAACGAUGAGUGCUAA